GGCUGGUCCAGAGGUAGUGGGCUAUCUCAAUUGAUCGUUCAGUCGGUUACAGAUUGAACUCCUGUUCUAUACUCUCCCUCCUUCUCACUACUGCACUCAAUUAGAGA
RNAcentral lists this non-coding RNA (107 nucleotides) under Mus pahari (shrew mouse). The record is from RNAcentral. Lineage: Eukaryota; Metazoa; Chordata; Mammalia; Rodentia; Muridae.